Molecule: long non-coding RNA, 14419 nt
Organism: Numida meleagris (helmeted guineafowl)
Lineage: Eukaryota; Metazoa; Chordata; Aves; Galliformes; Numididae
Exons: 5
Source: RefSeq, a predicted model, not a curated record
UUGGUGCAGGAAGAACUUCGAAACAUUUGGUAGAGCCACAUGCGAUUGAUCAAAGUAUUCACCCUAAAAGAACAAAAACAAGAAAACCACCCAGAUUGUUAAGAUUUGCUAGAAGCAUGGCUUUGUCAGAAUCCAGGAGACUCUUCCAAUGGAACUUUUUCUACCAGCUCUCCCUUUGAAGAUCUUCAUCCAAAUUUCUACGAUACAAAGGGCUGAGAUUCGAUGUUUAUAGCGAGUUCCUUGGCACAUUGCGCUCAUGGCUUCAUGGAGGGAAAGCUACCAUGCCUGCUCAACUGCUAAGAACCAAAGAUUCCCCUAUGGUAAAGCUGACAUCUUAAAGCAUUGUAGGAGGUGGAAGGAUGUGACUGCACUUGACCUGAACUCGAAUUAGAGUUCCCUAUACAAGUAGUCUUCAGUCAGUUGCCUAAUCCUCGUUGCAUCAUCGCACACCAAACCAGCAGGAGCAGCAGCUGGAGAAGAGUGGUUAUUCCCCUCCACACAGCGCCUGAGAGAUGGCAUCUGAAGCAUCAUGGUCUUCCUGGUACAAGAUAGACAUUGUCGUGCUGGAACAGGCCACCACAGAGGUGAGGGACUGGAGUACACGCAACACCCAGAGCUGGGCCUGUUCAGCCUGGAGAAGAGAAGGCAGAGGGGACAUCUUGUCUACCACCGCCUACAGCCACCUGCUGGGGGGGUACAUGGGAGGUAAGGGCUGGGCAUGGACAGAGAAAGAGGUAACAGACCCACCCUAGUUUGAGCAAGGGAAUUUCCAGCUGGAUGCUGGAGAAAAGUAUUCCUCAAGGGCAUGCUGAGCUUUGGAGCGGGGGCCCAGAGAAAAGGUGGAAUCAUUUUAAUGGUAGUUACUUAAAAUAACUCAUUGUUCUUUCCAGUAGCCCAAACUUUUCUGGUAAUUAUAAAAAUAUAUAGUAAAAAAUUGCCUAACUCCAAACAUGACUCUUUUGAAGAGCUGCAGAGAGAAAAAAAACCAUUGGAAUUCUGUAUUUCUCCAAGAGGCUCUUACCCAUUGACCUCUUAGCAUUUGCUUACUCCUGUAUUCUGCUGGUAAAUAACAUUUGCAAGAUCUCAGUUGCAGACCAGGCUUUCCAUUUGAAAUUAAUAUCUCUGGGGACCAAACAAAAGCAGAAUUAACCCACAGAAGCCCCUGCUCUCUCAGCACAACCAGCGUAGCACACUUCAGUGCAGAGCAGCCCGCACCACCUGGAAUGUUUCAUUGCUCCUCAAGUUUUUUAUAAGUUAUUCACUUGUUCUCAGGAGAAUAUUUUGGGGCAGUCAUCAGGCUUGUAUUUUGUGUGAUUAACUCUUUGACAUUUGAAUUAUUGUGUAGUAAGUAAUACUGGCACCAGAAAGAAAAGAAAAAAAGUAGUAAAAGUUAAAGAACACUAGCAGCGCAGCUAGCUGCAGGUGGCUCCUUUGGUUCUCUCCCAGCUGUGUCACAGACGAGGUUCACCUGAGCUCUCCCUCCCCAGCCAGCCCUCCAGAAGCAGCCUGAGGCCAUCCCCAGACAUGGUGUUUGGUAUCUCAGUCAGCUUUGUGCAUCUGAGGCUAUCGCAGAAGGGGAAGGGGAUCGGGAUGGGGAUGAGUUGGAAGUCAGGCAUAUGGCUGGGUGCUUGCUUGGAACCCAGCACAGACCCCUGUGUGCUGUGGUGAGCACUGGGCCCAGCACUGCCCCCAGCACUGCCCCACCCAACUGCACAGCUGCAGGCAAUUGGGCUUGAUGGCUGCAGGGAUAGGGGCACAGCAGCUUCCUCAGCAGGACAGAGCAGGGCUGGUCUUGGUGGAAGAGAGAUGGCUGAAGGCUGUGGCUCUUGAGGAUCAGCAUCUAAAAGUGCCAUGGUGUUGGCUUGGGCCAUAAGGUGGUUUUCAGCACCAGUGUCAGAAAACAAACCUAUAGACACUCAGUAGGCAUGAACCUGAGGCUACCGGAAUGGUCAAUGGCACGCAUCAGCCUGCGGGUAUCAUUUGCCAUCUGUCACUGAGCUUCAUCACGCACGAGAAGCAGGGUUGUUUCCUGGAUUUUGAACUUGCACUUGCAUCCCCUCUGCUGGAAUGUCCCUACCGAUAGGCAGCAUCCAAGUGGCUGUUCCUGAAGUAACUUUUCUUCAAGGACUUCUGAGAGGGUAGAGCCCAAGCGCAUCACGCUUGUGCAGUCUUCCUCUGUAUGGACUUGUUGGAGCACUGUUGGCUGCCCCGUGGAGCCUGGGACACUGUCGCACUGUCGCAUGCUAUACGCUAUUCUAUAGCUAAUGCCAACUGCAGCCCCAUGUGCUCCACGCUAAUCCCUUCCCCCUCAUGCAUUAUUUCCUAGCGCGGCAUUAGCAAACUGCACGCUGAUCCGCUGUUACUUCAUGGAUUUAGAACAUAAUCUGCGGGCCCACGAUGAUGUAAAACAGCAACUAUUGGUUUAAGUACGGGCGGCGCCAUCCUGCCUGCGCGGCGCUGGGGCUGGGCGGCGUGCCAGCCUGCCUGCUGCCAUGUGGCUGCGAGCGGAGCGUGCUGCGCGCCGAGCAAAGCCCGGCGCAAUCAAGCAGAAACGAUGACAGACGGGAAGAGGCUGGUAUAUGGGCUGCGCUGUUUGGCCAUAACAUCGGCUCCGGAGACGAUACUGUCUGGAGGGCUAAGAGUUUCUUUCCACACUCCUGCCUUGUGCCUGCAGCUGCCCCUCUUGGGGCAGGCAAGAAGGAAGGGGCGUUUGGGAGGUCUUCCAGGGGCUCGUCAGAGCGCCUUAUAUGAAAGUUCUGAGUUAAUGUCUUUAUACCUGUUCUCUUGUUUCAAGCCUUGUCAAAUAACACUGGACUGAAUGCGUUUCUUCUUGCUUUGCUUCCCUCCUCUUCGAGCAGCAGAAAUGCUGCGUGCCUGCCUCUGACACUGCCCCUCUCACCUCAGUGGGUUUUCAAAGGGACAGGUUUGCACUACUCCUUUGGAAGCAUCUGCCUACACGCUAAAUCAUAACACAGCUCGGAGUAUUACCAUGUGGAAAAGGUGGGAGACAAGGGGUGCCUAUGAAUACCGUUAGUACUAAUAAGCAUGGCACUAAUGCAGCCAAAAAUAUGGUGAAUGUGUUCAUCCACCUUUAAUGUGUGUGAUGUGCUGAUUCUGUGAGAAUGUGUGAAGCCGUGAGCUGUAUGAACGCGGAUACCAUUCUGCUUAGUGCAUUACUUCUCCUCCUGUGUGUAGAGAACAGCCCAAGAUGUGUCAUAACUUGAAUGUUAAUAUCUUGCUGUGGCAAAGCAAUCUUGUCACCAGCUCUAAAGUCAGGCUUUUAAAAAGCAGUUAAAAAACAAACAAACAUAAUCUCUGUCCUAGAAAUGGGCGUUUAUUAGCAAAGUAGGCACCUUUUCAACUGAACUUCAGCUCCUUAUCAGCCUGGAGGUACUUCUCUGCCCCCACCCACCCAGCCAUGGCUGACAUGGCCAAAUACUAAGUUCUUCCUGAAACCGUGUGCCUGGAGCAUCUGAGCUGGCUACAGCAUGGCUAUGCUGCAGGUGAGGUACCCGACCUGAUUUUUAUGUGGUCGGCCCAGGUUUCUUGCUAAAGCUGCUGCCUUCCCAAGGGGCGGAAGCAAGCCCUGUGGGUGGAGAUUUGCAGUCCUGUUUCAUUUCCAGGACACAGAGAUGAUUCUUGACUUUUCCUCACCACAUGCUGUAGUCUGUAACUGAUUGAGUUAGGAGGUGAGAUGAAUAAUAAACAAAGGCAAUUUAUUUAGCUACAGAUAAUUAAACACGACUCUCUAAUUUCUACCUGAGCUGCCUUUUAGGAUGGGUGAGAGCAAGGUGGUUUCCCAUGUUGGCUGUCCAGGUGUGCUCUUCCUCUCCCUGCAGGCAGUAGCAGGCAAUAGAUGCCUGCCCUGUUCAUGAUGGGUCUCCAGCCUCAUUUAUGGAGUCCAGUGGGGUUAGCUCCGAGUGUAUGCAAUAGGUUUGGCAAAGUAGGAAGUGAGACAGUGUAAAGCAACACAUACUGUCUCUUUGGUGUAGAGUCACCCCUCUUGUCCCCAUUAUCUGAGCUGAAGGCAGCCAUAGGGUUCAUGCAGGUUGCUCUGAUGAAGGUGCUUCCCACCAAACUGCCCUAUAUACGUUAUUUCAGCCUGAGAAAUAUGAGCUUUGCUUCUGACUUAUUGGGAAAGGUGGGGAGGUGUACAAUUGGGAGUUAAGUCAGAAAGAGAAGAUGCAUGAAAUGAUGGAAUUCCAUGGGCAGAAGGAUUGUGUCACUCUGAACUUCAUACAUUUUCAUCAGUAUCAUAAUAUUAAUGUGGUUUGAUUCUCCACCUCUCCCCCCCCCCCCCCCCCCAUGCCUUAUACACUUGAUAACGAGAUGUUUGUUCCACCAACAACAGCAGUGUUAACUGAGGGUACGGCAUUACUCACAGCAGAAACAUGGCUGUUAUGUGCAAACUGUGUUCUGCCAAGGUCAGUUUGUGGGGGCUGUAGUGAAACUGUUUCCUAAACUGUGAACAUGAUCCUGGGUGCUCAGCCUCCUGGAAUGUGUUCUGGUGCCUCCUCCCACAAGCCCCCCAGCAAAACACUGACUUGCCUGGGCUCUUCCUGCCCACAUUGCUCCUGUGUGGCAUGUGCCAAGGUGAGGGUGUCCAAGUGUGUUCUUACUAAUGUAUCACUUGAAGCAGUCUGUAUGUCACCUUUUUGUUGUGUGAAGUGACCCUCUAAGGCCACUUAAUGCCACUUCUUGAUGCUGACUGGGAUGCAGUUGGAUUUCAUGGCACACAAGUCAUUAAUUGGUGAAAACCAUGGAGCUUUAUGUGCUGCUUUUUGAACAACGCAAUCCCUGUCUGUGCAGGAGCAUAGAGCUGUGGGAGGGACUGGGCAUGCAGAUGGCUGCUGUGGUGUGGCAUGGGGGUUGUCUGUGAGCUCAGUUGACCAGAGUGAGCCACAGUGAUGGAGGUGCUGGUCCUUCAUGGCAGGACUUGCCAGGCCUGUCUUAGGUGGCGGUCUUAACAUGAGAUGAGCUAAUCCCUUGGCUAUGGGGCAGGUGAAGCUGGAGAUACGUGCUUAGACUGAAGUGGAAGGAAUUCCACCUGGUGGGUCAGACCCACUUGGAUUCAGGUCUCAUCACUUCCCUGCCUCCUCGCUUUCUUGAAGGCACUCACCCUUUGCCUGUGCUGCAUGAGAUGCUCAUUCGGACUUCACACCUAAGGGAAAUCGGGCUUUGGAAUUUCUGGGCUUUCAAAACAUAGCUGGUAGACCUGAAUCCUGGGAAACUAUGCCCUGGGUGAGGGCCUGGGGAUGAAGCUUUUGUGGUAGUUUAAAUUGGUCGUCUUCCAUUGGUGUGAACAGAUGUGUUCCUUGAGCAGAAGUAGUGGCUCAUUUUAGGCUUGUGAGGAGAAGGUAUUACCCUUACUCCUUCAGCUUGAAGACUCGGGUCUUGGCUUCAGUGUUUCAACUCUUUGAAAACAUGCACAGUGCUGUACAGCUUCCCCUUAAUUUUAUCGGAAUCGGCUGCCUCUACUCUGGGUCAGUCACUGAGAACCAAAACUAGUAUCUGAAUAAACAGCCCAUUCAUUUGAGGACUGUUAUUCCCAGUGCCAGGAUCCAGAACACAACCUGGGCAGCCAGCUAAUGAGAACACCAGAGCUUGUAAGACUGUGGAGGUGGGGCAGAGAAGAAAACAGAACAAACACUUUUUUGUGGCUUGGGGCGAAGGAGAUUCAGCCAAAGGUUAAUUGCUGUCUACCCUAAAAUGCUGUGAAGUAUUGCUGCAUGGUGUCAUACAGCUGCUUCGUUCCAGCGCAGAGGUGUCUGUUUCAGUGGUGGGUGGCAUGAGCCAGUAUACUUUUCUUAGUUGCACGGGGGUGUUGUGAGGUCUCUUGCGACUUCCAAAAAGUCUGCUAAAGCUUUGAUACUGUUUGGGAUGUCACUGCAGCAUGGAAGCAGGCAGUGAGCAAAGCCACCAAGUGAGCAGCCCCUCUGUCCCCUUGCUUCUCCCUUGUUGGAAGAAAUGUGGAAAUAAUUAAGCGGUAGUGUUGUGGUUUAACCCAGCAGCAGCUGAACACCACACGGCCCUUUGCUCACUCCCCCCCACUCUCUUCUUUAAGUGGAUGAGAGAGAGGAUUGGAGGAGAAAAAAAAAAGGUAGUAGGACUCAUAGGUUAAGAUAAAACCUUUGCUAGGACAGAAAAGGAAGACAGAAAUAACAGCAAUGAUAAUAAUAAUUAUAUAUACAAAACAAGUGAAGCACAAAGCAGUUGCUUGCCGACUGAUGCCCAGCCAGUCCCCAAGCAGCAGCUGCCCCCUACCCAACUGCCCUAUUUUCACAGAGUCACAGAACUGUAGGGGUUGGAAGGGACCUCAGCAGAUCGUUUAGUCCAACCCACUGCUAAAGUAGUUUCCCUACAGGUUCCCUACAGUAGGUUGCACAGGAAACAUCUAGGGAGGUUUUGAGUAUCUCCAGAGGAGCAGACUCCACACCUCUCUGGCCAGUUUGUUCCAGUGCUCUUUCAACUUCAAAGUAAAGAAGUUCUUUCUCGUGUUCAGAUGGAACUUCCUGUGUUCCAGUUUGUGCUCACUGCCCAUUGUCCUUUUGGGGGGGCUCUGCUGAAAAGGGCCUGGCCCCAUCCAUUUGACUCCUGCACAUAGUUUUUUUCACAUGAUGCCAUGUGGUAUGGAAUAUCUCUUUGGCCAAUUUAGGUCUGCUGGUUUGGUCCCCUGCCAGCUCCCUUUCACAGUUAUGAAUAGCUGGUGCACUAGCAUCCGUAGUCAAGUCUGCCCCUCGGUUCCAAGCCCAUCUAUGUGUUGCAUCUCUUCCUUGAUGGCCUGAAGUGUCAUGGGCCCACCAAGCCAGAAAUAGUUCACCUCUAUGUUGCCAGUCCAGAUCCACCUGAGCCGCUUCAAUCUUAUCGGCCUGAUCCACCUGCUGGAUGUUCUUCAGUGGCACAACUCGGGUAUGUGAGCAUCUACAUGGCAUACCUUUACAACAUGUUCUCUACCUGGGCAGCAGUAUAUUUCCACAAUGCAGCGGCCCAGAUGGGUUUGCCUCUGCACUGCCAGUUGUUCUGCUUGUAUUGCUGUAGCCACCCCCAAAGGGCAUUUGCCACCAUCCAGGAGUCAGUGCAGAGGUAGAGCACUGGCCCCUUCUCUCAUUCAGCGAUGUCUAAAGCCAGCUGGAUGGCCUUCACUUCUGCGACUUGGCUUGGUUCACCCUUUCCUAGGACUCCAUCCAGCGGCCUUCCACCUCGGAUGCUUUCCCAAGAGGACCCAUCAGUGAACAGGGCAGAUUUCUUCUCAUUCUCUGGCAGUUUAUUAUAUAGCAGAGCCUCUUCAGCACUUGUCACCUCCUUCUCUGGUGAUGCUCUGAAAUCUUUGCCUUUGGGCCGGUCCAUAAUCACUUCCAAGAUUCCUGCACGACUGGGAUUCCCUAUUGGAGCCCAUUGUGUGAUCAGUGCGACCCACUUACUCCACAUAGCACCAGUCGCAGACACAUUAGAGGUGGUAAUCUGCUAUUCCUAAGACUUCUGUCCAUGCAUAACCCCAUCUGCUAUGCAGCUUUCAUACUGCACACCACUCAAAGCAAUACAAUUUUCCCCUGAGUUAGGGCUGUUGUGACAUCUCAGAAGUCCCCUGCUGCUUGGUGGGUCUCUCACGACCCACAUCAGAAUGUUGUUCUAUGUGGGAUUUAAGAUCAUUACCUGCUUUUCCUAGCUAGUUGACUAGCUUAGUUGGUAAUUAGAUUCUGCUGAUUAAGCAGUGCCUGAUCUGGACACAGGAGAGGGAAGGUUUGCUAUGUGCAUAAAUCAGACUGUAGGUGAAGGCAGAUGUUGUAGUAAUUGAACGGUUGUUCCUCUAAUACCAAUGUUCCUAGCUCAGAACUACAAGGCUGAGCUCCAGCUCUGCCAUAAAGCUGCAUGGAUGGGGAGGACAUACUGUUCUGUGGUGGGGGAGGGCUUCCACUCCGCCUGCCCUUGCUCUCAGGGGGUGUGAGCACGCUGCUUUCUGCCAUGGGGUUUGUCCUGGCCCCUUCCAAGAGCCGUGGUAGGAGCUGCCUGCCUGGGGAUGGCUGAGCCCCUCGGGCUGUUGCCACAGCGCCUGGUGCUGUGGGCAGGGAGGCGUUCCUCUGCCUGCAGUGGGGAGUAAUAGUAAGAUUUCUUAGACCUUCUGAGUGUUUUUGUCUAGUCAGGAUAGCAUUACCAACUUUGACUCUAGCAAUCAGCUGCUUCUGAUAAAGUGUCAUAGACUACCGUAUCAAAUAUCGUAACCUUUAGCUCUGUUAUUAGAAGUGUUUUGCAGCAGAGGAUCAGUAUUUUGAUAGUUUUGUAACUGGCGGGAGAUGUUACUUUGAAGAAUAGUCCUUCUGCCCUGGAAUAAUGUGGUCUUAGUGCCUCUUACAGUGGCUGAAACUCUACCUUGAACAAAGCAGUACAAACGUUGCCUAGCAGAACUCCAGCUUGGUAACAAUGCAACACAGCUGGUUUUUUUCUCUGGUCUUGUAAGCUCUUUUCUGUUGAAACUGGGUGGUAAUACAGGAUCCACCUGGCCUACCUCUGUACUGCUCACUUCUGCUCAAGCAAGCGCUCGUUAAAUUAACACAGGCUCUUGACAGCCCAUUUUCAUGCCCAGCUCAGGUAAGACAGCUUUUUGCUCUGUGAUCCUUAUGCUGGGCGACAGGAUGCUCUGGGAGAGCCCGGGGGGUUGGAGCCGUGUCUCUUCCCAUCUCCAUCACACACAGCUGCCUGCAGCGCUGCGCCUGCUGGUUCCACCCGUGUGCGGGCGGCCAAGUGCGGAUUUGCCUUCUGGCCUCGCAGAAGGAGCUGGGGCUCUCUUGGCGGUGGCAUGAGUGGACACUGAAUUUGCAGUGGGACUUCAGAGGAGGGUGGGUUGUAACAAUCAGUUCUGUGACUCUACGGCCACCACGUUAGCUGGGUUGAAUCUCAUCGCUCAGCAAGCAGAGGUGUGCUUUGAAGUGAGUAGUAGCGGUUUUGUGCGACAGGACUUGUUCUGUAUUCCCAAACUGAACAUGAAGUGCCAUCACCGGUGUCCUGGAUCUUAGCAGGGAACCAUGUGAGAAACUUGAAGGGCUGUGAGAGCUCCAAAGUAGCUGUGGACUUUUACAGACAUUUCAUGGGAAACAAAUCUUUACGUGUCCUAAUAGUGUUAAAUUCACUUCCUACAAACCUGCUUUCAACUGCUUGGCUAACUCAUACUGGAAGUAAUUGGACACACCUAACCAAAAUUGCAGUGGAAUUUUGCUAUGAACUGCAGUGUUCCCUUAGGUCACCCAUCUUCCCUGUUAGAUAACUCUCUUGAAACAGCAGUUCGGUAACAACUCCUCCCUUUUAAGCUUUAAAGAUACUGGCCAUUCUCUGAAGCUCCCGUAAAGUAAUGUUUGUGCAUUUUGUAAUCCCUCAUGUAACCCCAGGCUGCAGCUCAGGACACACUCAGAGCUCUCUCUGGGGCUGUUACCCAUGACAUGGGCUUCAGAGCCUCUGCUUCUCUUCUGGGGGAGGCCAGGGGGCUAACGAGGACCUGCCUGGUUUGACUGCUGUCCUUUGGUACAGAGACCAUGGUGGUCAGCUCAUGCUUCUUCUCCUUCCAUUGUGUCCCGAGGUGUAGUGUUUCUGGGCAGUAGCGGUACUUAGCUAUUCCAGUUGCAGCUCUUGUCCUGGUAUGCCUGCAGCAUGGACGGCACUGCCAAUAGGGUUCUGUUCUCUCACCCUUUUCAAAGGGUUUGCUGAAUACUGACUUUGUGCUUUGAGGGGCCUCAAUCGUGUACUGUUUACCAGCCUUCUGCGAGGCUGUGAUGAUGUGUCAGAGCCUCUGAGUAUCUCUGAAGCCCAGAAGGCUCAGUAGAGCUUCUGAAGUGAGCUUCUGCUGUCACCCAGGUAGCACGGGGAGUGCCUGGCCUGCAUGGUGGCUGUCUGUUAGCUUGUCCCAAGCUGUAAGGGGAUGUGGCUCUGCUUUGGGGUCCUUCUAGUUUGCAAGAGACCUAACAGGAGAGUGCCAGUCUGUUCCCUGAUUAUUUUAAAAAGCCAGUCAAGAUCGUGUUCCCCUUCUGUAUGGUCUGUGUACCCCCUGAAUGUUACAGAUAACGGUGGUUUCCCAGUUCUGGAGGCAGCUCGUGCAGGGCUGAGAGCUGGCUGAAGGAGCUUCUAGUCUGGAGAAUCAAACUCCUGAGAAGGAAGCAGAUGCCUAAACUCGCCUCUUAAUGGAGAAACCAGUUUAACCUAUAGGUGUCUGUCAUUCUUUCUGUGAAGAGAUUUUUCCUAAUAUCCAAACUGGACAUCUCCUGGCCCAACUUGAGGCUGUUCCCUCUCAUCCUAUUGCUGUUACUGGGGAGAAGAGGCUGACCCACACCUUGGUACAACCUCCUUUCCUGCACCUUUAAGACCUCCUUCUUGAGGAGUGUCUGGCCUUCCUGGGCCCCUUUCAAGACUGACUCUCAAGGGAUUCUCCAAACCAGUGUCCUGAACAGUUCAAAGUCUGCCCUGCAGAAGUCCAGGGUAGCCUCCCCUGUUGUUUCCCAGGGUGAGACUUUGGGGAUCGAGUUUUGUUACCUCCCUCAUUAGAAGUUUGCACUUAAAAUUGUCCUGCUUAGAAAGAGAAAGGAGAAAAUGAGGGCAAUAAGCAGAAGUGGUGAAACCUCAACUUCGGGCUAUGGGUUUUUUAAUUUGUAUUUAGUUAUUUCAGUGGCUCUUAGGGAAGUGGUUCUUGUCUGGAGCUCUCCUUCUAGAGAAGUUGUGUCUCCCUGCUGCUUGUGUCUAAUUAACAUUCUUGUCUGUUUGACUGCCAUCCUGGAAAACAGGUGUAGAGAUGCUAUAAGUAGCAAGGAGCCUAGUGCUUGCAGGGAGUUCCUCACAAACUCUAAAUUACAGUUUUGCUUCCUGUGCCACGACCUCAGGGCCCUGACCUGCAACUGCAGCAUAUUUUCUGUGACUAACAGCUGUAAUUCCCUAAUUAUCAUGCUCCAUUCUCCUGCUGUGCUGUAGAUUUUGUUACCAAGGGAGCAAACGAAGUUUCCUCAUUCCUUUUCUUGCUCUGCACACUUCCAACUGUUUUAAAUCUGCCAUUUGAUGCAGCCCAUAAAGACAAACGACUAUCUCUUGUUUCAGAUGCCCAUAGUCUCCAGAACAUAUUUUGUAUCCACGUGCUGGGAAGGAGGAGGGCAAAGCAAACCUUCUGGCCUUUCUUUUAGUAGAGGCCGAUGCCUUGCAGCGCUGUUCCCGGGUUCGAGUACCUUUACUAGCUUCGGUGCAAAGUGCUGGACUAAGCAUGGUCUUGCACUUAGCUAGCUGGGUGAGCUCUGCUUCAUUAGACUGACCAGCAGAGCAUUGGAGAUGCUGGGAAAGAAAGGUGCAUGUAAAGCUCUGAAAGCAGGCUGUGUGUGUGUGUGGUGUAACGGGGGAGGCAAAUGUCACUGCCUGACGCAGUAACAGGGCCACUGUGUCACUUACAUUUCAUCCUCUGUGUUGGAGGCUGAGGACCAAUGGUUGCUUUGCCAGACAGAAAUGAGAAUACACCUAUGCUAUAAUAAACGCACUGUUUCCUCUCUGGAGGCGUGAGAGGCCUUGCAGAGGGAUCUAGAUUAGAGCACUGGACAAUCAGCAGUGGCAUACAGUCCAACAAAGGUGAGUGCUGGGUGCUGCACCUGCAACAGGGCAAUGCCAGACACAGGGCAGAUGAGGGACAAGUGGCUGAAGAGCAGCUCGGCAGGAAGGGACCUGGGGCUGCUGGGGGCAGCGGUCUCAAUGUGAGCUGGAAAUGUGCUCUGGCAGCCAAGAGAGAAAGCUGCUUUUUGGGGUGCACUGAACACAGUGUAGCUGUCUGGUCAAAAGGUGAUUGAUUCUUCUGCUGUAUUUAGUGUUUGUGUGGCCUCACCUUGGCUAUGGUGUGCAGUUCUGGUCUCAAAACUAUAGAAAGGAUGUUAAGGUCCGUGAAAGCAUCCCAAUGCUUUCCUGGGAGGAGAGGCUGAGCACAGGUGGGUGGGCUGUCUGUGGACUGGAGGAGACUGAGAGACUGCUCCCUACGACUUUGUGAGGAGGUGCCAGGCUGUCUUCCUGGGAACCGAUGGCUGGAUGCACAGGAGCCCUGAGGAGGGGCAGAGCAGACAUAAAGAAACAUUUCUUUACCACGAUGGUGGUCAAAUGCCCUCACUGUGCUUUAAUUUUUGGUUAGCCCUGAAGUGGUCAGACAGUUGGACUGGAAGACCUUUGGAAGGUCUCUUCCAACUGAGCUAUUCUAAUCUAAUCUCUGUUCUAAAUAAUAAAUCUGCUGCAUAUGCCUUAGGCUUCACUGAUGUCUGUCAUCCAGGAGAAGGAUGCUCGCAGGCUGGCUUCUGUUCCAGAGCCCUCAUCAGCCUGGAUGUGAUGAGCCCCCAGGGCCAUGCCCAAGACACCUGUACAACUUGUUUUUGCCCUUGGUAGGUGUGAUGAACAGGGAACCUUUCUAGGGGUGUGGCCUCCAGCAAAUGGUAUUUUGCAUCUUGCUCUAGAAAUACUAAGUAAGUUAAGUUGUGACAGAAACAUCACAAAAAUGACGCAGGAUAAAAACUGCUGACUGAUUUAGGUGGAUUUGCUGCUUGACUCUGGUCAUUAAGCCAAGAUGGAGGAAGUUGUUGCUUCCUCUGGCCUUUCUUUGGCUCUUGUGGCAGUUACAUUUUCAAUAACUGAGCCUUGAAAACAUGAUACUGGGGGUGAGGGGACAAUGCACUGUUCGUUCUCAAAAAGACAAUGUCAGAUUAAAUGUUCCUGUGCGAAGGAAGAACUUUCUAGACAAUAAAACAGUAGCAUUGAACCGAGACUCUCCAUCACAGUUUUACCUUCAGCCCUCCCUCAGGGCUUUGUGCAUGAGCUGGAGAGCAGGGCUCAAGCACACACUCCUGAGGGGUGCACAGCACAGGGUACUAGUGGAAAGAGCUAGCCACCUCAAAGAUGCUUCUGUUCAAUUUAUGGGACUCUGAUCUUAAACACCUGUGUACAGUACUGGGUACAUGUUACUUACCCAAAGAGCUCUAUGUUAACAUACCUUAAACUCCAGGUUAAAUGCAAUACUGAGUCAAACUUCGUAUGUUACAGAAACUCAAGUUAUGGUGGUGGUAGCUUAGCAGGUGUUGGGAUUUCAUGGCACCGUGGUGUGAUGCGUUGUAAGAUGCUGUGAUGAAGUAAUUGUCACGUAUGUGCUAGAUACAAUGUCAGAACAAAACUGCAGGUUUUGAUGUGAUUUCUUUAUUGUUAGAAAAAAGGGUUUGGCAACUUCUGUAGAUGAAAUUCAGUUUUACUUUGGUCGCUCUAAAAAUAUUCUAUGACUCUAUAAACAGUUGAGUAUAAAAAGCUGUGCCCCUUGUACAAGGCAUGUGCAGCAGGUGAGUGCAGUGUAUGUGGAAGUAAAAUUCUCAGUUGCAAUGUCUAGUAUAAGCUGUGGGCAGCAUCUCCUUGGAAUACAGUCUAAAGGAAGCAGCACAUUGCAUCCUCAUCUGCAGCGGUUUGAUUUUAUAACUGUUCUGAGGUUUGGUGGUGUUGCUGAGUGCACCCUUCUAUAGCAGUAAGGCACAAAGGUUGCUGAGAGUGGGGAGUGAGAGGCAGCAGUUUGCAGCGGGUUUGGUACACACCAAUGAAUGGUGUAUCAAGUGGUCUUCACUAAAUAAGCAACCCUUAAUUCGGAAGGUGUGAAGGCCCCUGCAACUAGAAGAAGGGUGCAAAAAAGGGGCAAAGGGCACAAGGAAGAGGCAGGGGGUGCUGAAAGGGGAGAGGAGCAAGGGGUUAUAAAGAGGCAGGGGGUACAAAUAUGCUGCAUAGUGUAUUCGUGUUGAGUUUGUAAAGCAUGUGUUAUUUGUGCUAUGGGUGCUGCGUACCUCACAAGGGGCAGAGCCCUGAGGCGGUACAGAGGUGCUGUGUAUGUCAUGUUUGUGGGGUCUGAAGUAAGGUGUGUGUGGCCGCUGCAGGGCUGUGUGCUGCAUUAACUUCUUUCUUUCAUGUUCUGUCGUCUCCUUCCUGUGGUCUCCGUCCCACUGACGCUGUCCCCUAGGCAGCCCGUGUGUGGAAGAGGCUGGGGCACAGAGCUGCCGGCUCCUGCAGCACCGCAGCGGCUGCCUGGAUCGUUCCAGCAGCCGGAAUGGUGUUUACUGUCCCUGAGCAGCUGGCUGCUUGGCGCUGGCAUCCGCGCGCUCUGGGCGUGCUCUGACAGAUUUCAUCCAGCUCGCUCCUGACUGGUGCAGUGUGUCGUCAUAUCCUCGCUGCAGCUGUCUGGGGAUGAAGAAGCCCCUGUUGGGGUGCCAGCCAGUCUGACUGCUUUGCAGCAGGAGGCUGCCAGGAUCCCUGGUGGCUUUUUGGAAGACGGGACUUAGGUCGUGUGUACCACACAGCAAAGUGGAGCUGAGAGUUCUCGGUGGAUUUGGUAAGGCCCUAUCCUGCACUAUGUGGCUAUUGACCCUCUGGUUCCUACAACACAGGAAUAGCUGAUCAA